GACGAACGCUGGCGGCGUGCUUAACACAUGCAAGUCGAACGGAAAGGCCCUGCUUUUGUGGGGUGCUCGAGUGGCGAACGGGUGAGUAACACGUGAGUAACCUGCCCUUGACUUUGGGAUAACUUCAGGAAACUGGGGCUAAUACCGGAUAGGAGCUCCUGCUGCAUGGUGGGGGUUGGAAAGUUUCGGCGGUUGGGGAUGGACUCGUGGCUUAUCAGCUUGUUGGUGGGGUAGUGGCUUACCAAGGCUUUGACGGGUAGCCGGCCUGAGAGGGUGACCGGACCCAGGGGCAUGUAGCGACGCACCAGCCGCCUACGGGGGGCAGCGGGGGGUAAUAGUGCAAAGUGGAGGGAAUCCUGGUGCAGCACCGCCGCGCGCGGGGUGCCGCCCUGCGGGUGUACCGACGCUCUCGCCUGAGACGAAGUGUGAGGGACGGUAAGGGGAAAAGAAGCACCGGCUAGCCACGUCCCAGCAGCCCCGUUAAUCGAUAGCAGCACACGUCAGAAC
This 507-nucleotide ribosomal RNA is filed under the name uncultured bacterium. RNAcentral describes it as "partial 16S ribosomal RNA". It matches the Rfam family "Bacterial small subunit ribosomal RNA", at positions 33 to 541 of the family's 1533-position model. The record is from RNAcentral.